AUGGCCGGUAUGCGGAACUACACACAGGUCGUAUGCAUGGUAGCUCUUGUAGCCAUGGCCACCACUGUCUUCUCAUGUCAUGUAGCAGGGCGUUAUGUAGAUACUGACCUGUGUACAACUCUGGACAAUUGUUCACCACCAGACCGAGCUAGUGGCAACAUUACGUGCAAAGCUAACUGUGUUAACCGAGGUUAUGACAAGGAUAAGAGCAGUUGCAUGGAAGGCAGUAGUAGCACAUGUUGCUGCCGAAAGAACUGA
Molecule: ribosomal RNA, 258 nt
Filed under: Triticum aestivum (bread wheat)
Lineage: Eukaryota; Viridiplantae; Streptophyta; Magnoliopsida; Poales; Poaceae
Description: partial small subunit ribosomal RNA
Source: RNAcentral